This 466-nucleotide ribosomal RNA is filed under the name uncultured bacterium. RNAcentral describes it as "partial 16S ribosomal RNA". It matches the Rfam family "Bacterial small subunit ribosomal RNA", at positions 28 to 506 of the family's 1533-position model. The record is from RNAcentral.
GACGAACGCUGGCGGCGUGCUUAACACAUGCAAGUCGAACGGAAAGGCCUCUUUCGGGGGGUACUCGAGUGGCGAACGGGUGAGUAACACGUGAGUAACCUGCCCUUGACUUUGGGAUAACUUCAGGAAACUGGGGCUAAUACCGGAUAGGAGCUCCUGCGGCAUGGUGGGGGUUGGAAAGUUUCGGCGGUUGGGGAUGGACUCGCGGCUUAUGAGCUUGUUGGGGGGGUAGUGGCUUACCAAGGCUUUGACGGGUAGCCGGCCUGAGAGGGUGACCGGCCACAUUGGGACUGAGAUACGGCCCAGACUCCUACGGGAGGCAGCAGUGGGGAAUAUUGCACAAUGGGUGGAAGCCUGAUGCAGCAACGCCGUGUGCGGGAUGACGGCCUUCGGGUUGUAAACCGCUUUCGCUCAUGACGAAGCUUUGUGUGACGGUAGUGGGUAAAGAAGCACCGGCUAACUACGU